This 91-nucleotide transfer RNA is filed under the name Hyphomicrobium sp. Its description in RNAcentral is "tRNA-Phe". The record is from RNAcentral. Lineage: Bacteria; Pseudomonadati; Pseudomonadota; Alphaproteobacteria; Hyphomicrobiales; Hyphomicrobiaceae.
GCCUGCUAAGUUGUUAAAACCCAAGCGCUUCAUUUGCAAAUUUGGACUGAAAAUCACGGUGUCGCUGGUUCAAUUCCAGCCCUGGGCACCA